AACAUAGCCUUUAGCCCUAAAAAGUAUUAAAGGCGCUGCCUGCCCAGUGAACUAUUUAAACGGCCGCGGGAUCCUCCACCGUGCAAAGGUAGCAUAAUCACUUGUCUCCUAAAUAGAGACUAGUAUGAACGGCCACAUGAAGAUUUACCUGUCUCUUAUAGCUAAUCUAUGAAACUGAUCUCUCGGUACAAAAGCCGAAAUUUUAUCACAAGACGAAAAGACCCCGUGGAACUUUAACCGGCAAUCAUAACUAAUGAUCAACCCGCUUUUAGUUGGGGCAACUACGGAAAAAACACAACUUCCACAUAAACACCAGGUAGACAUACCUACCCCCACCACUCUGACCCAGUAAAACUGAGAAAAGAACCAAGCUACCCCGGGGAUAACAGCGCCAUCCUCUCUAAGAGUCCCCAUCGACGAGAGGGUUUACGACCUCGAUGUUGGAUCAGGGCCCCCAAACAGUGCAGCAGCUGUUAAUGGUUUGUUUGUUCAACAAUUAAUGCCCUACGUGAUCUGAGUUAAGACCGGAGCAAUCC
This 536-nucleotide ribosomal RNA is filed under the name Leposoma scincoides. RNAcentral describes it as "partial 16S ribosomal RNA". It matches the Rfam family "Bacterial large subunit ribosomal RNA", at positions 1812 to 2627 of the family's 2925-position model. Lineage: Eukaryota; Metazoa; Chordata; Lepidosauria; Squamata; Gymnophthalmidae. The record is from RNAcentral.